UGGGGAAUAUUGCACAAUGGGCGCAAGCCUGAUGCAGCCAUGCCGCGUGUGUGAAGAAGGCCUUCGGGUUGUAAAGCACUUUCAGCGGGGAGGAAGGCGAUAAGGUUAAUAACCUUGUCGAUUGACGUUACCCGCAGAAGAAGCACCGGCUAACUCCGUGCCAGCAGCCGCGGUAAUACGGAGGGUGCAAGCGUUAAUCGGAAUUACUGGGCGCAAAGCGCACGCAGGCGGUCUGUCAAGUCGGAUGUGAAAUCCCCGGGCUUAACCUGGGAACUGCAUUCGAAACUGGCAGGCUAGAGUCUUGUAGAGGGGGGUAGAAUUCCAGGUGUAGCGGUGAAAUGCGUAGAGAUCUGGAGGAAUACCGGUGGCGAAGGCGGCCCCCUGGACAAAGACUGACGCUCAGGUGCGAAAGCGUGGGGAGCAAACAGG
This 429-nucleotide ribosomal RNA is filed under the name Chloroflexota bacterium. Its description in RNAcentral is "Chloroflexi bacterium partial 16S ribosomal RNA". It matches the Rfam family "Bacterial small subunit ribosomal RNA", at positions 355 to 776 of the family's 1533-position model. The record is from RNAcentral. Lineage: Bacteria; Bacillati; Chloroflexota.